AUUGAACGCUGGCGGCAGGCCUAACACAUGCAAGUCGAGCGGAUGAAGGGAGCUUGCUCCUGGAUUCAGCGGCGGACGGGUGAGUAAUGCCUAGGAAUCUGCCUGGUAGUGGGGGAUAACGUCUGGAAACGGGCGCUAAUACCGCAUACGUCCUGCGGGAGAAAGUGGGGGAUCUUCGGACCUCACGCUAUCAGAUGAGCCUAGGUCGGAUUAGCUAGUUGGUGGGGUAAAGGCCUACCAAGGCGACGAUCCGUAACUGGUCUGAGAGGAUGAUCAGUCACACUGGAACUGAGACACGGUCCAGACUCCUACGGGAGGCAGCAGUGGGGAAUAUUGGACAAUGGGCGAAAGCCUGAUCCAGCCAUGCCGCGUGUGUGAAGAAGGUCUUCGGAUUGUAAAGCACUUUAAGUUGGGAGGAAGGGCAGUAAGUUAAUACCUUGCUGUUUUGACGGUACCGACAGAAUAAGCACCGGCUAACUUCGUG
Molecule: ribosomal RNA, 484 nt
Filed under: uncultured bacterium
Lineage: Bacteria
Description: partial 16S ribosomal RNA
Rfam family: Bacterial small subunit ribosomal RNA
Source: RNAcentral